AAACACCGACCCUUGGGUUUCUUAGCCUCCAGUGCACCGCCGCCGCAGCCAUGAAGACCGGUGGCCGACGACGGAGGAAAAGAGGUCAAAGACCUCGGCCUUAGAAUACCCCGAGGGCUGAACCCUUCAACCUUAAAAAAGAAAAGAGGAAGAUUCUCAGCACCCUCUAGAUCCGGCGGUCGCAAAGGAGGAGAACCCUCCGUGAGCUGGAUCCCGG
Molecule: long non-coding RNA, 217 nt
Filed under: Gossypium barbadense (sea-island cotton)
Lineage: Eukaryota; Viridiplantae; Streptophyta; Magnoliopsida; Malvales; Malvaceae
Description: long non-coding RNA (GBAR_LNC023207)
Source: RNAcentral